GGUGUCAUCAAUAAAAGAUUUACCAACUAUGCUACUAUCUCAUUAAGCAUUUCAAUGCAUUAAAUCUAAUUUCUAGAUUUAACCUGGGUCAAGUGACACCCCUUCUUAUUUAGUGGGUCCGCCACUGAGCAUAAAUGAUUAAGUAGUGAAAUUUGACCUGAUUUUACUAUAUUUUUUGUUAGUUAUAAUACAACCUUAACGUUUACGAUGCAAUGCAUUGUUUUUUUUGUAGCCGUUGAUUUCAUUCCUUUUUUAGAAAGUGGUCUUCCUCUCUUUCCGGUUGAAUCUUUUCUUUUUGUAAUGUAAAAUUUACUGACCAAGAAAAGAAACCUUUUGCCUCCUUUGAUUUUGUUCAUGCUA
Long non-coding RNA from Arabidopsis thaliana (thale cress), 360 nucleotides. RefSeq annotates it as other RNA. The transcript has a single exon. Lineage: Eukaryota; Viridiplantae; Streptophyta; Magnoliopsida; Brassicales; Brassicaceae. The record is from RefSeq.